GGGAAUUAGCUCAGUUGGCUCAGAGCAUCGGAUUUGCAUUCCGAGGGUCAGGGGUUCGAGUCCCCUAUUCUCC
This 73-nucleotide transfer RNA is filed under the name uncultured Treponema sp. It matches the Rfam family "tRNA". Rfam says of the family: Transfer RNA (tRNA) molecules are approximately 80 nucleotides in length. Their secondary structure includes four short double-helical elements and three loops (D, anti-codon, and T loops). Further hydrogen bonds mediate the characteristic L-shaped molecular structure. tRNAs have two regions of fundamental functional importance: the anti-codon, which is responsible for specific mRNA codon recognition, and the 3' end, to which the tRNAs corresponding amino acid is attached (by aminoacyl-tRNA synthetases). tRNAs cope with the degeneracy of the genetic code in two manners: having more than one tRNA (with a specific anti-codon) for a particular amino acid; and 'wobble' base-pairing, i.e. permitting non-standard base-pairing at the 3rd anti-codon position. Lineage: Bacteria; Pseudomonadati; Spirochaetota; Spirochaetia; Treponematales; Treponemataceae. The record is from RNAcentral.